RNAcentral lists this ribosomal RNA (466 nucleotides) under uncultured bacterium. RNAcentral's name for it is "partial 16S ribosomal RNA". It matches the Rfam family "Bacterial small subunit ribosomal RNA", at positions 28 to 507 of the family's 1533-position model. The record is from RNAcentral.
GACGAACGCUGGCGGCGCGCCUAACACAUGCAAGUCGAACGAGCGAGCGAGAGCUUGCUUUCUCAAGCGAGUGGCGAACGGGUGAGUAACACGUGAGGAACCUGCCUCAAAGAGGGGGACAACAGUUGGAAACGACUGCUAAUACCGCAUAAGCCCACAGGUCGGCAUCGACCAGAGGGAAAAGGAGCAAUCCGCUUUGAGAUGGCCUCGCGUCCGAUUAGCUAGUUGGUGAGGUAACGGCCCACCAAGGCAACGAUCGGUAGCCGGACUGAGAGGUUGAACGGCCACAUUGGGACUGAGACACGGCCCAGACUCCUACGGGAGGCAGCAGUGGGGAAUAUUGCACAAUGGGGGAAACCCUGAUGCAGCGACGCCGCGUGGAGGAAGAAGGUCUUCGGAUUGUAAACUCCUGUUGUUGAGGAAGAUAAUGACGGUACUCAAAAAGGAAGUGACGGCUAACUACGUG